Triplophysa dalaica is the source of this 1137-nucleotide long non-coding RNA. RefSeq lists it as uncharacterized. Lineage: Eukaryota; Metazoa; Chordata; Actinopteri; Cypriniformes; Nemacheilidae. The record is from RefSeq and is a predicted model, not a curated record. The transcript has 2 exons.
UUGAGGCACUCUUUUCGCUGUCUCUCAUCUCCCUCUUUCUUCGCCCCUGCUCGCUUUCACUCCUCCUCGUAUCGCUACGUCAUCUAAUGUGGGUGGGAGAGGUCGGUAAUUGUUAACAGGCAGGUGUAUAUAUACCUGUUGUCCUCAUCCGGUAGCGAGAGACUGAAGUUAGCUGCUAACGUGUUGGAGGCAGCAGUGUUCCGGGAUGUGUUGGUAGCGCAAGGGGUUGCAUAGUGAUUGCCAACGGCACUACUGUUUGUGUGUGUGCGCUUCCGAAACGCGUAUGGAAUGUCUGGACUGACGAGCACAGAGGAGCAUUUGUGACGGGUGAAUGCGUGAAGCGUCGGAACACUGUCUACUCACCCAAUCGCUAUUGCAGAAAGGUAUGUUAUGGUUCUGAUUAUAAGGUAUUGGGCAAAAAGUAAAGCGAUCAUUUGAUUAAUGGGUCUGGUGUCAGCGAGUGUGUCUUAGUAGCUAUAUGUAUACUGACUAUGAAUUUUAGGCGUAUAGAGCACUUAAUUAGAACUCUUGUUUCUUUUUCUUUGUUAAAGAGUCUUCAGCCAAUCCGAUUGUCUGCUGCUGUUCUUUUGAGUGUGUUUGAAUGAAUGGGCAGGUGCUGCUUUUUAGACACUUAUUUGUUUUGUUUGUUUCUUUUUUUUACUAGCCGGUGUGCUACAAUAUCUGUGUGUAGUGAACUGACAGUGGCCACCGGCUAGCGGUUUAUACAUUUAUUUUCGUUGUUUGUUUGUCUUCACCCAUUACAUUAGCCUCGUGUGGGUUGGGCCCACUGGAUAGACUUUCCAACGGGCUCCUGCCUGGUUUCCUUAGCGUGUUUCACUCAUUUAGCACGACGUGUGCAGUGUACUGCUGUGAAGUGUGUAUUCUUAGAAAUAGCUCAAAGAGCCUGGUUGUCAUUGUUGUGCAGUGUUUGUAGUGUUUGUUCUACUCUAAAGUGGUGUGCCCUAGCUCACGUGUGGUACGGAAACUUAGGACUGAGUAACUUGUACUUCGGUGGCCCCCCCUUAUGGCUUAGUGUUAUGUCAAGUGAUGAAUUUGUGUGUUAUUUAUUGAAAUCCAAAAGCGACUCAAUGUUUUUACUGUUACAAAAAUAAAGAUUGUACUUUUCUACUUUGUUGA